Pelobates cultripes (western spadefoot toad) is the source of this 230-nucleotide non-coding RNA. The record is from the annotation of a GenBank genome assembly. NCBI's taxonomy places the organism in Eukaryota, Metazoa, Chordata, Amphibia, Anura, Pelobatidae.
UAUGUUUCUAUGUUUCUAUGGUCCAUGCGAACAAGAUGGCCGCCACCUUGUGGUCGUCUAUAGGAAUUGCCGCCACCCAGAUGAACACUUAGACCACUGCGGUGAGGCGUACUCCCAUCAUCCUCCACGCAGUCUGUGAGGCGUAUUCCCAUCGUCCUCCACGCAGUCGGUGAGGCGUACUCCCAUCGUCCUCCACGCAGUCGGUGAGGCGCACUCCCAUCGUCCUCCAC